This 465-nucleotide ribosomal RNA is filed under the name uncultured Denitrobacter sp. RNAcentral describes it as "bacterial SSU rRNA". It matches the Rfam family "Bacterial small subunit ribosomal RNA", at positions 338 to 795 of the family's 1533-position model. Lineage: Bacteria; Pseudomonadati; Pseudomonadota; Betaproteobacteria. The record is from RNAcentral.
CCUACGGGUGGCUGCAGUGGGGAAUUUUGGACAAUGGGGGAAACCCUGAUCCAGCCAUCCCGCGUGUGCGAUGAAGGCCUUCGGGUUGUAAAGCACUUUUGGCAGGGAAGAAACAGCCUGGGCUAAUAUCCCGGGCGACUGACGGUACCUGCAGAAUAAGCACCGGCUAACUACGUGCCAGCAGCCGCGGUAAUACGUAGGGUGCAAGCGUUAAUCGGAAUUACUGGGCGUAAAGCGUGCGCAGGCGGUUCGGAAAGAAAGGUGUGAAAUCCCAGGGCUUAACCUUGGAACUGCACUUUUAACUACCGGGCUAGAGUACGUCAGAGGGGGGUAGAAUUCCACGUGUAGCAGUGAAAUGCGUAGAGAUGUGGAGGAAUACCGAUGGCGAAGGCAGCCCCCUGGGAUGAUACUGACGCUCAUGCACGAAAGCGUGGGGAGCAAACAGGAUUAGAUACCCUUGUAGUC